This 254-nucleotide ribosomal RNA is filed under the name uncultured bacterium. Its description in RNAcentral is "partial 16S ribosomal RNA". It matches the Rfam family "Bacterial small subunit ribosomal RNA", at positions 79 to 334 of the family's 1533-position model. The record is from RNAcentral.
CUUUCUUUGCUGGCGACCGGCGCACGGGUGAGUAACACGUAUCCAACCUGCCCUUUACUCGGGGAUAGCCUUUCGAAAGAAAGAUUAAUACCCGAUAGCAUAAUGAUUCCGCAUGGUUUCAUUAUUAAAGGAUUCCGGUAAAGGAUGGGGAUGCGUUCCAUUAGGUUGUUGGUGAGGUAACGGUCCACCUAGUCUUCGAUGGAUAGGGGUUCUGAGAGGAAGGUCCCCCACAUUGGAACUGAGACACGGUCCAA